This is a long non-coding RNA of Diorhabda carinulata, 402 nucleotides long. RefSeq lists it as uncharacterized. The record is from RefSeq and is a predicted model, not a curated record. NCBI's taxonomy places the organism in Eukaryota, Metazoa, Arthropoda, Insecta, Coleoptera, Chrysomelidae. The transcript is spliced from 2 exons.
AUUUCUAUCAAACGUCAAUUUGAAUAUUGAAUUUUGAAGUUGAGGAAUCUAAUGUUUUUAAAAGAUAUCACAAAAUUUAGCACACCGCAAUUCUUAACUAAUUAAUUGAAAACUCCAGACGUUGAUCGAGGUGGAGGCGAUUUUGAAUCAUUCUUAUGACGAUGAUCGAGAAAACCGACUACAAUUUUCACAAGCUAGUGAAAAAGAGACGAUCUAUCGAGAAAAUGUGUUCCAGGAACUAGAUUUAUGUGUGUAAUGGAAAACUUAUAGAUCUGAAAAGUGCAUCACCGGAAAAGAAAAGUUUACGACACGUGUGAACAAACAAUAACUUAGGAAGUCAGAGCUAUAAACGAUGUAACUGUAAAACUAAAUUCAUGACCAACAAAUAUAAAUUUAAAGCUA